This 254-nucleotide unclassified non-coding RNA is filed under the name Patescibacteria group bacterium. RNAcentral's name for it is "contains 16S-23S intergenic spacer region". It matches the Rfam family "Bacterial small subunit ribosomal RNA", at positions 524 to 776 of the family's 1533-position model. The record is from RNAcentral.
UACGGAGGGUCCAAGCGUUAUCCGGAAUUACUGGGCGUAAAGAGUUGCGUAGGUGGCAUUGUAAGUAGAUAGUGAAAGCGUGGGGCUCAACCUCAUAUCCAUUAUCUAAACUGCAAAGCUAGAGGGCGAGAGAGGUAACUAGAAUUCCUUGUGUAGGAGUGAAAUCCGUAGAUAUAAGGAGGAAUACCGAUGGCGUAGGCAGGUUACUGGCUCGUCCCUGACACUAAGGCACGAAAGCGUGGGUAGCAAACGGG